RNAcentral lists this ribosomal RNA (459 nucleotides) under uncultured bacterium. RNAcentral's name for it is "partial 16S ribosomal RNA". It matches the Rfam family "Bacterial small subunit ribosomal RNA", at positions 338 to 795 of the family's 1533-position model. The record is from RNAcentral.
CCUACGGGUGGCAGCAGUGAGGAAUAUUGGUCAAUGGCCGGAAGGCUGAACCAGCCAAGCCGCGUGAGGGAGGAAGGCGCAGAGCGUCGCAGACCUCUUUUGCCGGGGGACAAAAGGCCGGACUCGUCCGGUCCUGAGGGUACCCGGAGCAAAAGCAUCGGCUAACUCCGUGCCAGCCGCCGCGGUAAUAGGGAGGAUACGAUGGUUAUCCGGAUUCAUUGGGGUAACAGGGUGCGCAGGCGGGCCUUUACGCCGGCGGUGAAACCGCGGGGCUCACCCCCGCCGAGCCGUCGGAACUGGGGGCCUUGAGUGCGGCGGAGGCAUGCGGAAUGCGCGGUGUAGCGGUGAAAUGCAUAGAUAUCGCGCAGAACCCCGAUGGCGAAGGCAGCGUGCCGUGCCGCCACUGACGCUGAGGCACGAAAGCGCGGGGAUCGAACAGGAUUAGAUACCCCUGUAGUC